UUGGUUUCAUCAGCUCUCCAACGCACCAGUCCAUAACAACCAUCGAGUCGUAGAAUCUGCAAUGAGCUGAAUUCAUCUCCUUCUGCUAUUUCCCACUCUUCAUUUGCUUCUUCUUCUUCUUCUGUCUCAUUGCUUUUGAAGGUACAUUUAUCUAUCUUGAGCACUUUCAGAUUCGGUAGUGCACACAGAGCCGUCGUCGCUGCCGGAGUUAUUACACAAUUCUCCAGAUUUAAUUUUCUAAGAGUAGAUGGAAAUUUGAGUCCGUGCAGAUAUUGCCCGAACCCUGAAUAUAGAUCACGUGAUGAAAUCCAGGUUAAUGAUUGGAGUUUCUGAAGAUGACUCAGAUCAACUACUUCACUCAUCCCUGGUGAGCCUUCAUCCUCAUAAUAUCGGAUUUCCAAGCUUUUUAUAUUUGGAAUGCUUUCCAAGAAACCCCUUCUAAUCACUGACGGACUUAGCUCCACAUGCCGUAUCGUCUGCAGCUUCUUCAGAACAAUUUUUUUCAUGUAAUCAUCUUCUAUACAGAGUGGCACAUCCAACAUGAUGAGAUGUCUUAACUCGGACAUCUCCCACAUGUCAGCUGGGCAAGAGCCAUCGUCUAGCUUAGCAAUCAACGUUUGCAAAUUACACAAUCUUGAUAUUCCACUUCUAGGUAAUGACUCGCACUUGAUAGAUAAGUAGCGUAAGUUCACAAAUUGUAAUAUUUCUUCCGGGAACUCAAUCUUAUACUUACACAUUUCCAAUAAAUCCAACACCCUAAGCAAGCUUAAUGUGAAAACCAUGGGAGAUAGAUUCCUAUCCAACUCGACAAAGAGUAGAAAUGAUCGAACAAGUGACAUCUCUGAUGAAGAAGCAUACUCAUCAUCUUCCAUUCCAUAUGAUGUGUGAAUACUCACACGACGCAGCUGGUUAGAGAAUGUGAGCUCGGUCGAAUUCUUGACAUGUAGAAACUUCUCAUCAUCAGCUUUCUUAAUGCAUAAAUCUCUCAAAAGAUCAUGCAUGCUGUAGCUCUCUGCUUUUCCAUCAAAAUCAUAACUUGUAAUAACCGAAACUAGAUUCCUUUCUACAAGUGACUUUAAAUAAUCCUCUGCCUCUUCCUCCAAACUUUUAUCUCCAUUCGAUUUCACAAAUCCUUCUGCUACCCACUUCCAUAUGAGUCUCAAGGGGUCAAUCUUAUAAUCUUCGGGGAAUGCUGCCAUAUAGAGGAAACAUGGUUUCAAGUGAAUCGGCAUAUGGUUAUAACUUAAGGAUAGUAUAUUCAAGAACUGCUUGUCCGAUUCAGCAAUUGCAGCUCUUACGUCGUUCCCAAUAUUCUCCCAAACACCUUUCAAUCUUUCCACCUUUGACAACAGCCCUCCAAUCACAUUGAUAGCCAGAGGAAGCCCACCGCAAUCACUCGCAAUCUUCUUUCCUAUCCCUUGUAACUCAUGAGGCCAAUCCUCUUCUCCAAACACAAUUGGCUAGAAGAUCCCAACUUUGAGACUCGCUCAACAACUGCACCUUAUGAUGCAGACUCUCAGAGUCUGCAUAUUUGGCGACAUCCGAUUCCCUAGUGGUGAUCACAAUCCGACUCCCGUUAUUGUAGUCCGGGAAGUACCUCCUUAUCUCAUCCCAGAAUGUGGUGCUCCAAAUAUCAUCUAAUACAAUCAUGUAUCUUCUACCACACAAGCUCCUAUACAAGAUAUCUUUUAACUCACCAUCUCCCUUUCCAUUAUGUUUAUCACAUUCUUCUUUUCCAAUUAUGCAACGAAGAAGGCUUAAUAGAAUUGAGCGCAUAUUGUAAUCUUGUGAAAUUGUGGUCCAAGCAAGAUAGCUAAAGUGGUCAAGAAUGAGUGGAUGUUGAUAAAGUUUUCGAGCAAGAGUGGUUUUACCUAUACCACCCAUACCCACGAUGGGCAGGAUCUCCAGCUGCUUGCUCUCCUUCCCGAUCAGCCGCUCCUUCAGCUGCAUCAGAUCUUCAUCAACUCCCACCACGACGCUCUUCGAGCUCGGAUCUUGCAACAGAGAAGCCCCACUCGGUGAACUGCCACUCGGCAUCGUCUUCCCCUCCACGAGCUUCACCACUUGUUCCAUUACAGAAUCAAGUUGUUGAAUUUCUUGUUGUAGAUCUGGCGUAGAAAAAGUAAAGCUCACGCCUUCAGGGCUGGAAAGCAUUUGAGCAACCAUCUGAGGUUCAAUGAUAUCUUCUGCUCUAUGUGCUGCUUCUUGGAUUUGACUUUCCAAAUUCUCUAUGAUUUUGGAGGGUGAAGAUUUUUCAAGAAUCUGCUGCAGAGAAGCAGCUUUUUGGAGGAGGGAUUCGAGUUGUGGUUUGUUGUGAUCAACAAUCCAGCGAGAUUGUUCAGGAUUCAAGAUUUGUUGUAGGAUGGUGAUGAGGGGUUGAAGAUUGUAAGCCAUUUUUCUGAUCUCUUCUCACUCACAAAGGAUAAGCAAAUUUGAAGAUAUCACAACAAUCAUCCAAUCUGUAUAGCUACGCAGCUGUUGACUGUUGACUGUUGUAUUGACUUUGACCAAAUAAACCAUAAUUGUAAUAGUUGGCUAUAUUUCUUUCUUUUUUUUUCUUUUUUUUAUCGGGCAAAGUCAUGUUAGAUUUUAGUAAUUAGUUUCCCCAUCUACUCCAAGAACCACCUUAUCUCUCCAUUCACCAAAAUCCACCUUAUAUCUCCAAUCUCCAAUUGGCUGUAGUUUGCAUAAAUGAUAAACUCUAUAACUUAAUAAUUUUUUAAUGUCCAUUUGCACUCAUUAAAAUAUUAAUACUCCAUUCGUCCCAUUACUCAUGGGUUAUUUCUAAAUCUUUUUUGGAUACAAUCUUAUUUUCGUAUUGGACUUUCCUUGAGAAUUUAAUUAAAUCUCAUUUUUUAUUGUUUCUUAGAGAAAAUCGAUUCUUGUUUCUGUAUGCAGAUCUUACUUUUUGAUCUAUUUAUUUAUGUGUUGAAAGCAUGAAUGGAUUGAGAAUGCUAUUGUAAGAGUUGCUUCUCUUCAAAAAUAUGAGAGAGACACUUAACUAAGUUAAAAUCAACUCCGAAUUUGCGCAAAUAUUAAACAAAAUUUCCUUUUCCAUACUCAAAUUUAAUCUCCUCUCACCAUUUAUAUUAUUUCCUCUAUUAAUUAUCAAUAUCAACUAAUUAAAAAUGACAGGAGUAACAUUUGUUUAUUUAUUUAUUUAUUAUUAUGUUGGGUCGUAAGUAUCUUUGCUGUUGAGGCUAUAUAUAUGUUGGGAAGUUUAUAGCAUCAAGAAAGAGUGUUAUCUUUAGUAGAAUGAUGGAAUCUUGAUUGUUAGAAAGUUUUUAGCAUCAAGAAAGAUUGCAUCUUUGGUAGAAUGAUGGAAUCUUGAUUGUUAGAAUGUUUUUAGCAUCAAGAUGGAUUGUAUCUUUGGUAGAAUGAUUGAAUCUAGAUUGUUAGGAAAUUUUUAGUAGCAUUGUGAAAGUUUUGAUCUUCAUAGAAUCUAGAUUGUUAGCGUCAAGAUGUUUAGAAAUGGAGCUUGAAAGUAGUGAUCAUCCGGCCACAUUGUGUUAAUAAAGGUGUUGCUAGUCAAUUUUGGCAUAUACUUAUUUGGGGUGGAUCAAUGUUAUUGUUUCUUAUAAGUAGUCGCUUUAUUCUCUAUAAUUGUAUUCGAAAAUAGUAGUGAAAAAUCUCUAAUUUGGCAGCACCACUGAAUAUAUGUAGUGACGAACUAGGGUUAAUGAUUUUUGUGUUAUUUUUUCUUGCAUUCCUGAUUGUUUUAUGCUUACAAAGAUUAGAUCUUUAGUAAAAUCUUGAUUCUAAUUGUGUAGAGAGUUAAUUUUGGUGAAGACAUAGAAAAAUAUAGUGUUUUGAUGUUGAAUUCUCUGUUAGUAUUAUUUCGUUUGAAAUCAAUAUAAUAUUUUAAUUAAAGGUUUGAAGGUUGAAUUAUGAUGGAUAACCAUCCUUAGUAAAUACUCUAUUCGUCCUCGAUGAUGGCUCAUUUCUUCAUUCAUAACAGUGGCGGAGUCAGACUUUCAACUUUUUUUAAAAUAAAAUGAAUCGUUAAAUAAAAAAACUAAAUUAAACUAAAAAGAAAUAAUAAUCAUUAACACAAUUAUAAUUAUAAUGUCAUUUAAAUUACAAAAAAUACCUUUCAAACUAAUUUUCAAGUUCAUAAAGAGUAAUUUCAAAAAAUUAAGACGGUUAAAACUUUGCAAGGAGAAUUGCAACGCAUAAAAAUCAUUAUUGUAAAAUAAAUUUUUUUUGAGAUUUUUUGCUCCUGCCGCUAGGGUUCCUCUAGGGUUUCUCUAGGGUUUGAGGGUAGUGCUUUUCGUCUCUUGACUCGUGGAUGUUCUUCGUACGCAGGGAUUGCUGUUGACUUGUGCUGUUUGCUCUCGGUUUCUUCGAUGGAUCCAGAGGAGAUUCAACAUUUAUUUCUUUACAUUUCGAGAGACUCACUUGCACGUGUCCCCAAACAUCAACUUUCUUUUUCAUAUCUAGCACCUUCUCUCUUUUUGAUUCACAAAUCAAACUACAUAGCUCAAGUGCAUGAAUAUGCUCUAUAUCAUUACCAACCACUCUACCGAAGAAGUCACAAACUACCUAAACCAACACAAUCAAAGACACGCUUCCGGUUGAAGCACUCGAGAUAUAAACUCAUUAAGCAAGCAUAUAAGCAUGGAACUAUCCUAGGACCCAAGAACGAAGAAGAAAAUAUACUAAAUUUAGAUAUAUAUUUGAUUCAUAUUAUAACAGAAGGAAAAUGAGCCAAAAAUAUUUUUGCCCCAUUAUCCACAACAGAAACCCCUAAAUGCGGCGGCUAAAUAUCAUGCAUGCCAACUUUACUGUCAAGCAACACGAAACAAAAGAGGAAAAAACAAUCGAAUAAGAAAAACAAUCUUCAUCUUCCUUUCUUUUCUCUUCCUCUUUAUGUGCUCUGUAGAUAUAUAUGCCACACAAGAAAAUUCAUCAGGUUAAUGAAACCCAACAACAUGAUUAAGUAAGAUUUUUGCUCCAAAAUAAAAAUAUUAUCAUACAAAUAUAUAUGUGGGCGAGCAGGUGUUUCGAAAGCAAGGCGAAAGAUUUUAUUUAUGCUUUUUGGAUAGGCAGAGAGUGAUAAUAAGACUGACCUAUUUAAAGACUGAGAUGAUACGAAGUUGGAGGUCGUAGUUCUCGUAUUCAGAUUGCUGCUCCUCCUGAAUCUGUUUCGCUGAGGCCAUUGCUGAAUUGCUGCACCAUUGUAACUCGAUUAAUUGGAGGGUUGGGAUUUCUCCAAUGCCGGCGGGGAUUUCCUCUAGCUUCUCACACCAUUGUAUAAAGAGAUGGCGGAGUCUAGGGAAGUUGGUUUCAUCAGCUCUCCAACGCACCAGUCCAUAACAACCAUCGAGUUGUAGAAUCUGCAAUGAGCUGAAUUCAUCUCCUUCUGCUAUUUCCCACUCUUCAUUUGCUUCUUCUUCUUCUUCUUCUUCUUCUUCUUCUUCUUCUUCUUCUUCUUCUGUCUCAUUGCUUUUGAAGGUACAUUCAUCUAUCUUGAGCACUUUAAGAUUCGGUAGUGCACACAGAGCCGUCGUCGCUGCCGGAGUUAUUACACAAUUCACCAGAUUUAAUUCUCUAAGAGUAGAUGGAAAUUUUAGUACGUGCACAUAACAUUGACCG
Molecule: long non-coding RNA, 5595 nt
Filed under: Salvia miltiorrhiza (redroot sage)
Lineage: Eukaryota; Viridiplantae; Streptophyta; Magnoliopsida; Lamiales; Lamiaceae
Description: long non-coding RNA (SMIL_LNC006817)
Source: RNAcentral